RNAcentral lists this long non-coding RNA (39525 nucleotides) under Malus domestica (apple). RNAcentral describes it as "long non-coding RNA (MDOM_LNC010232)". Lineage: Eukaryota; Viridiplantae; Streptophyta; Magnoliopsida; Rosales; Rosaceae. The record is from RNAcentral.
CCUGAGCCUCUUCAAGAACCUUUCAUUAUCAUCCUCAACAACCUUAAGUAUGCUCUCCAUCAACUGCUUCUUGUCUUGUACCCCAAGUUUCGCAACAUCAACUUCUUCAGUCACAUACCUCCCAUUGCUCAUGGCCUGUCUCAACAUUCCCUUCCUCAUCCUAUCAUACGUUGGCAGUCGCUCUAUGGCAGCCCACUUGAGCUCCUCCUCCUCAUCCACCAUCUGCUGCCUGCUGCUCCGCUGGAACACAUCUGGAGCAUUCCACAUUUCUCUAACACUAGUAGACCGCCAGCUCCUCCGGCUGCUACUCCGGCUGCUACUCUGCCUAGCUAAAUCAUCCACCCCCAAUGGUGGUGACGCCAUUUUUAUGGUCCAAAAGCAAUCAAAUCACUCACAACUCAAAUAUUUCUGAUAAUUUGCUGGGAAGCGAUUGGACUUGAUUAAUGUCCCUGGAAUUCGGGGCACGCUAAAGUUGAAACAAUAGUGAUCAACUAUGUAAUGCUAACCCUAGAAUGUGAUUUUCUUUCGUCCUUCAAAAAUUCUUCAACACCUUUUGGCCGAAGAAUUAUGAACACAUGUGAGAAAAGAGGGAGAGAUAUAGGGAAAAAAAAUUCUUCACAGUAAAUUCUGGUUGAAAAAUCAAACGGGAAUGUGUCAGCAAAAAUAAAAAAAAAAGUUAGAAAUCAACUGAGACUACUUUGAAUUUUCCUGCGUUUUUUUUUUUCCUACGCAAUUUACUACUUUUAGUACUUUUGUUGGUGUGAAUUUCUUUGUGAGCACUAGGAUUUUUAAUAACUGUCGCAGAAGUUGACCGCCCCAUAUUCUAGAUGGUCAUAUUCUUAUGUGGGCGAAUAAUUCAACACACGUGAAAUUUAUGAACUGGAGAAAAUUCCAAUAUUCUCAAUUUUCUCCUUUUCCUAUCUUCGAAACUUCGCAGGCUUUUCAUAUUAUUGUUGAGGCUAUUUGGUAUUGUUGAUGAAAAUGCUAAAAGUGUUUUUUGAUAACAAAAAAUACUUCUAAUUACGUUUGUAAAAAAAACAUAAAGUGCUUAUUGGUUGAAAUUCUACAGGCUCGUUUGGAUGUACUUUUAAAAUGACUGAAAACGCUUUUAGAGAAAAUAUUUUUGGAUUCCAAAAGCAUUUAAAGUGUUUUCUACAAGAAGCACCAGUUAUGUGUUUCUUCUAGAAAGCACUUUAAGUGCUUUUCAGGAUUUACUUGCAUGCUUACCAAAAAUUGGUUCUAAAAACAUUCGAUCAUUUUAAAGCACAUCCAAACGAGCUCUACUUCUAACUAUGUUUUUGCUUUUAAUAGAAAACUGAAAAUUUUAGGUUUUAAUGCAAGGGUAUGAUCUUAUAAGUUGUGACUCUGCUUUUUGGAAACUUGCUAUUGAAGCAGCAGUUUGAAGUUUAUUUUUCUCUAAAGCACUUCGGAUUUUCUAUAAAUCUAUAUCUAUAAAUCUAUCUUUUUGUAAUAAAAGUACUUCUAUUAUAAUCGCUUAUGAAGAAAAAUGCUUCUUAUAAAAGAUGUCUCAAAUAGCCCUUAACUAUGCUCAUAAAUUGGUAUGAGCACCAUUUAAAAUUGGUUUAACUUCAAAGUAAAAAUUUCUGUUUGAACUAGAUAAUGAGACUCUUCAAAUGGCAGUGCGGUGACACCUAACUUGCAUUGCACAAUUGCACUGUUGACAUCUCAUUGCCACUGCACUACCACUUGUGUCUCUCUAAAUUCAAAUAGUGUGUUGAAUUUGGCAUGUGUGACUGUUUUUUCUUCAUUACGGUUUUCUUCACGUAGUUUCAUCCUCAUAAAGUUUGUUCAAAGUGAUUUAUGUUUAACAUGACAGCUUCGACGUAUGUUUUGACCUUUUUUUAAUGAAAUCCCCAUGAUUAAAGUGAAUAGCUGUUAGAGAUUAUGAAAUAAUUAGUCCAACUAUAAAAAUUAAAUUUUAGGAUGUGUCCUCGACAAUUUGGUGCAUAGAUAGUUGUAUUAGCACAAUCAUGACCUAAGAGGGAGGGUUACUUUGCAACUAAGCAAGUUUAUUUGAGGUUUUAAUAGAACCCUUCUGACAUUUGCAUCUAACUUUCUUUUAGCAAAUCAAUACUAUUAUAUUUGUGACUUUUGUAAAUGUUUAGGAAAUUCAGUUAUAAACAAGUAAAGAGAAGUUGUAAUAUUUUCCUUUAGUAUAAUUAUUACUAUCGAUGUCACGGGUUUAUAGGGAAAUUAGUACAAACACCAACUGGAUUAUUAGGGGUGUUGACCAAAACUAAAAAUCUCGCCAGUUUACCGUCCAGACUCUAGUUUUAGUGUAGAUGUGCCAUUUCUGUAAUUUCCAUUAAAAAUUCAUCAUGUGUUAUGCACAUGAACCUUUUUUUCAGGUGUCGAUUCAAGGUAGAAACUCUGUUAACUACAACUUUGUUUUUUGAGGAGAAGAAAAAUUGUCCCACGAGUUUUUUUACUUAUUAUUGUUACAAAUGAUAUUACUACUAUAACUUGCACUAAGGGAGGGUUGAGGGUUUGAACUUGAACCGCAAUGUGUUAACUGAAUUCUUACUUACACUGAGUCAUCAAGGGGGUCUUAAGUCACAAAUAUACCCUUGGAAGGGUCUCAUAAAUUUUUGAUGUAAAAUCAUAAAGGUGGUACAUUCACACUAAAUCAUGAGUUUGGCUGAUUAAUUCUCAAAAAAAAAAAUGUCAUCUCAGGUGAUAUUUGUCAAUUUUCCCCCAUCUAUGUGUUGUACAACUUGUACUCAGCAGGCUGCUGGAUUUCUUAAAUAAAUAUCUAAGUUUGAAAAAAAACAAAGUGACAAAUGCCACACUUCCUUUUGGACGUUCUUAACUGUUGGAUGUGAUUGAAGAGAGAUGGAUGCUUGAAUCUAAUACUUCAUUCCUUAGUUUGAAAUUUCGUUUUGAUAAUUUUCUUUAGAGUUUUUAUGAGUUGCUUAUUAUAAAAUAUCAACUUUGUUUUCUGUCUAUUAUAACAAGUUAAUUAGUGAAAUCAAGGUCACUCUGAAUUACUUGAAUUACAAACUUACAACUUUAAAAACAUUAAGCUGCAAAUUUGAAUUUAAUCAACUUAGUUAAAAAGCAGUAUGUUUUACUCACUGCAUUCAAGUUCGACUUAUCUCUUGAUAGUUCAGAUCAAUUUUCUGUAAUUAAAAAAAAUUAUAAGCUAAUAAACAUUGAAAAGUAUACUGUGAACUCUGACAAAAAAAAAUUAGUGAAAUUUGUCAGCCAUUAGGGUUGAUAGGGUAUACAAAUAUCCUGCAAAGCUGUAUUAAGAUAAUGACAAGUACCUAAAAUCAAUUUUCUUCUAGUAAUCGUUGUUUUUUGACUUGAGUACGGUAGUUAGAGGUUGCCAAGAUAUUCAAAAGCUUCAAUCAAAAAUUACUCAAAAUUCUAGAACGAGGGGCUUGAAUAAUAAGGUGUUAAAAGUCGUGGGCAAAACCGAUCAUGCUUUUAUGUCUGACCUGUGACUUAACAUGGGAAAGGAUUCUCUCUUAUUCUUUUCAUCCAGUCCAUAAAGGCACACAAUUCGAGCUUUUGAAAUUUGAUAUAAUGACUAAAGUUAUUAUAAUUUUUAAAAAUGAAUAUUUAUUUGUAGUCGUUAAAUCAAAUUUCAAAAGUUCAAAUGGUAUACUUUGAUAGACUUGGUGUAAAAGUUCCGUAGAGGAUCCUUUCCCAUUUUACAUGACUCGUGAGAUAAAAAUAUCUUAACGUAAGUUGUCAUGGUCGAACACGCGCGCUCACUCACAUAUCUGCACAAUGUUUGCGCAUCGUAAUGAAAGUUAAGAUCACUUGUUUUGUAUGUGUGAUUUUCUGCAAUCAUCAGUACUCGUUUCUGAAUGUUGUUCCAAAUACUGAGAAUGAAUUCCACGAGAGAAUGGACUUUGUAUAUGUUUAUAAGUAAAUUGGAUUACUUUUUAUUGGCCAAUUGCUUUUAUAGUGGAACCUCAACUUUCUUUAUGGUAUCAGAGUAGGUUAUCUCACUUGUGAAGCCAAACGGUCACAUGUGCUUCACGUCACUCGAGUUGUGUUGUCCACGGGUUAAGCUUGAAAAUUCGCCACACUUGAGGGGGCGUGUUGAUAAUGAAUCUCACAUUGAUGAGAGAAGGGACCUUGCAUGUGCUUAUUAUUAGUAAGUUGAGUUACUCCUUAUAUUAUCAAUUGAUUUUAUCGUAAAAUUUCAUUUCUUUACCAAGUUUUACCAAUGGAUUUGGCAAUCUCAACUUCUCUGGUUAGAGUAAAAGGUCAAAAGUUAAUACAAAUGUUGUUACUGAAUGGCAUGGUUAUAUGCAUUUAUUUACUGUUGGCUUACGUAAAUAACAGGAUUUAGAGGAAAGAUUCAUUCUCGUGAGCACAGAUGUAGCAAACAAUUAUGAAGCUGAUUUUCCUGCGAUUUCUUACUAAUGUAGACUAAAUCCUUGUACUUGUAUUGUACCGGAUUAUUUCGAAUUGGAUUAGCUUAACGGAUUAAGCUGAAUUGGUUUGGCAUAGACUAAAUAAUAUAAGAAUAAUGAAAUAUUUGGUACAUUGUCAAACUAAGCUAAUGACAAAGAUAUUUUUUGUAUCUAAAAUUUGUUUUUCUAUUUUUUUUCGUCAAUAUAUCGAUAAUCACGAUCGCGCCGGGGAAAGUAUAAAUUGUGUGUAAGUGUUGACCUUAAAAACUACCAAACCUACGUGGCGCGCAGGCAGAGUAACUAAUGAGCUAACUACGUUCUUCGGUUGUAUGCGGGCGUACCAACUCGUCGGCCAAAUCCAUGCACUGACAUUUUUAUAUGCAUGGCGCAUGCAGGGUGGUAGGUUGAAGCUUGCAUCAAAUUUGAAGCAUGUGUCUUUGAUUAGGUAUCCUCAAGAUUUCCCCAGCCAGUAAAAAAAAUCUCACCUCAUUGAGAUUCAAGGCGGUGCAGGCCCACUGAAUGAGAAAUCCAACUCCACCGAAUUUCUUCUUGGUUACUCUCAGUAAAAUUGCCCUAUAAACACUUCAUGAUCCUCGCCUCUUCUGUAAAAGUAAAUCGUCAAAACGUCGACCAAACUCAGCCAGCCACUGUGCUUGACCACCUUAACUUGCCUACUCUCGUCCCCAGUCAAAGACAUGUAAUGUUCGUACUCAGGUCCUCGACCUUGCCGAUUCAGCCUCUUGGUCCGUACGAAGCGACCACCGUCCAGACUCCGAACGGUGACACAACAGAACUAAAGUCAACAGUGCCAUAAGGAGUGAGCCUCCGAGUCACACAUGAGUCCAAGAACGUCGAAUACACUGUGACAGAACUUGUCUUUGACACACCCAAGUCCUCAUAAGUAGAGACGUAAACCAAAUAAUCCUCCAUCAAAGUCGACCUCUUUCUCGUGGAAAACUGAACUCCCAUGGCCGAGUGAUGGGAAUGAAGAAUGACCGAAAAUGGGUAGAGCAUGCUGCAAAUGUUCUUUUUAACCGCUGAGGAUACCCAAUCUUAUCAGUUAGUUAUGUUGUGUGUUUUGACUGAAAGUAGUCUACCAAAGACCACCAAUAAUCAAUAAUUAAAUAGACAUAUGAUUCAGGUGAUGUGAGAAUCGGCCGAGCCAUGUGGUCGAGAACUACUGAGAACCCUCCGAAUAAAAAAUGUAUUCCGCAUUAAAAUUCCAUUCCUUGGUCCAAAAUUGUCUCGGCUCGGCUAAAGAAUGACUUUUUAAACCGAGCAUGCCAUAGUUUGGACCAAAAUUUUACCGAGCACACCAUCUUGUGGCCCCCCUUAUUUUCUCAAGUAUCGGCCCAUAAGAGCCAAAUGGUCGAGAAAAUAAUUUAUUCAUAUAUAUAUAUAUAUAUAUUUUUUUUUUUUUUUUAACAAACGAAAAUAAAAGUGACCAAACUUCAACAAGAAGGCCAACAAUGCUUUAUUCCAAGUCGAGAUCUUUUUAUAUAAAAAAUUUCAAUUUGAUUUCGCUUUAGGUCGAAUAAAGAAUCAUCUCCAAAUACCUUUGACUUGGCAAAAUAUUUUUCAUUAUCGGCUGCCGAAUGUAUUGGACAACUAUUAAGCCCCCCAGGCAUAAUAACUUCGCCAAUUUCAGCUCUUAACUCGAACAACUCAGCUGAAUGAGAUUUCUCUAUAUCGGCUUUAUCGCCAAUAAUCAUAUUGAUUGGCGUGUUUUGGCAUCUAAGACCAUGUCUCCAAUUACCAUAUCAAUUGAUGUGGUUUUAUGGUUUGAAACCGUGUAUUAGUCUUGUUCGUCAUUGGAACACUCCUAUGACGAAUCAUUUUCUAAGUCAAUUUUUGGCUUAUAAACUUGAACAUUUUCUUCUAGGCCCACCACACUUUCAGUCUCGACUGAACAAACAAGUGGCCUAGGUUAUUCUUUGGCCGUCUAGACAAUCUUCUUAGGCCGAAUUUUAAUUGUGGUCGGAACGAAAAAUUGCCCCUAGCCUUUUAAGCCAACUAUUCUUCAAAUGGAAUUGAUUUGAACCCAAAAGGAGUUUUCUUAUCGAGCCACUUGUAAUAUCGAGCAUAUAAAAGGGACUCCCUCACCACCAUUAGAUAGUAUCACCGCUUACUGAGCAAUCGCCUCGCCGCGAGCAUCAACUCUAGCCCAUCAUUUAUGUAUUGAGGAGCGAGCCCUUAUUCUAUAAAAGGGACUCCUUCACCGUCAAACGCCAAAAGCCGAGCCAACCAAGGUAACAUAAGCCAUGAGCCGAGCAGCCUCUCAGCAUGUGCUACUUCUAGUUGAGCAUCAUUUCAGAUUGAGCACCACCUCAUAUCGAACAUCAGUUCAAGACAACAUCUAGUUACUUCGGCCCACACAUGGACUGAAUUUCAAGUCUCCAACCAAAAGACUCUCUUGACUGAAGACUUGGGGGACUACUGUUUAUACCAUAUUUAGGGCCUCCGUAGUUAGACCUCGUAUAAAUACUCGGGGGACUUAAAUGUAAUUAUGUAAUAAAGGAAGAGGCAAAUAUGUAAUAAGUGAGGAGUCAUUAUUCUAUAAAAGGACCCUUCACCUUCAUAAUUUGAAGAGGCCAAUUCCUAAGGCUUCUCACCCCUCUCAAAGCUCUCACUCUCAGAGCUCUCUCUCCCUCAAAUAAAUACAUAAUCAGUGUGGACGUAGCCCAAACCUUGGGGUGAACCACGAUACAUCUUAUGUUAUUUACAUUUCUUGCAGAUUCACGGUCAAAUUUACGUUGUUCCAAGACCUCCGAUUUUGUGCAUCAACAGAUCUUGUACGCUGUGAUGAACCUUCACCUUUAUCAUUUGAGAGAAAGACUUCCGCCUUUCUUCAUUUGCUUCAAUGAUCCGGCCAAUAAGUUUUUGUUGCUCGACAAUUUCCUUGAAUAGGCGCCGAAUUUCAUCCUGAUUGUGAUUUUGAUAUAUCAUGUGAACUUCGUAGUUUUAGCACUGGGUUCUACUGGGUGUGCCAAAAUGUUGACCCUAAAAACUACCAAGCCUAUGUGGCGCACAGGCCGAGUAACUAAUGAGCUAACUACGUCAUUCGGUUGUAUGCGAGCGUGCCAACUCGUUGGCCGAUCAGUAUAAUAUGCUGAUGUUGCGUUCAAUGCACUGCCAACUUCUCGAUCUUGCGAUUGCGGCCGAUCUUGCGAUUGCGGCCGAGGAAUGAACACUCUCAGCCUUCGGGUUCUAGAGCCUGAAGACAAGGCUGCUAAUCCUGCGAAGUUCACGGAUAUUUGGCACCGGGUUUGGUCACGGUGAUUAUAUUCCUGAUAGUAUAAGCACGCCGAACUGGCUCCAAACUGUACAGACACAAGUACUCAAAGGAAAUAUAUGUCUUGAUGGUAAACGUGGUUCGACCGUCAGAAUGCCAAACUCUAAACCCAACUUAUGAGUAUCCAAUCAUAAAAUAACUCGGCGUUCAAUGUGCCGAGCCCAGUAAUUUGUAACACCUCACUUCGCCGAGAAGGCUAAUGAGGUGACCUCUACCAAUAAGGAUUCGAAAAUCCUUCUAAGCCGAGACUUAGAUAGAUAACCAGUCGGCCUCGACGCAGUGCUGUUUAUCCAAACUGAAGGUGCUUUGGGGUCGGCUAACUCUACGGCGGCAAUGCUGUUUAUCCAAACUGAAGAUGUUCGCCGGUUGCCUUCACAGUGCUGUUUAUCCAAACUGAAGAUGUGUCGGCGGAAAAGAAAAUGAAAAAUCUCAAGGUUGUUGAAAUGUUUUGCGUAGAGUGAGAACUUGCGCAGGGCAGUUUGUGUGUUGAAUUGGAGAGGGCUUUUACAUUAUGUGCAUCUUUGUAUUUAUAAUAUCGAACCACACGAUGGCCACCUUGUAGAGCCUUUGCCGUGAACAACAAUCAUGUCUUGAUAUUAAAGGAUAAUCAACCAAUGUUUGAUAAUCAUAUUGAGCAAUCCUUAUCAACACAAUUCGCGACAUGCAUGGCUGAACGAGUUCCCAAUAUUCAUGCAGAAUGAAUCUGACUUUAUAAAGGUCUUCAUGUUGACUCACAGUAUAAAAGCAUAUGCCAAUAUGCUAAAUCUUUUAGCAUAAAAACCAAAGGUUAAUUAUUUGAUUGUUGCCAUCUUAUCAUCACCAUCAUCCAAAAAGUCCUCGUGUUCCUUCAUAACAACCUACUACAGUCCCACUUCAACUCAAGGUCUUGCAUGCAAUCCCUAUUUCCUGUAGAUGUGAUAAUGCAUGCAAUUGCAUUAUCCCAUUUUAUUAAAAUACCAUGGAUAUUUGGUGAUGAUAAUUACCCCAUCUUACGUGCUUCAUCAUCUAAUGUCGUGCCUUGUAAAUUGCAGUCAUAUCGCUCCACACGGCAUUGCCAGAUUCUAUCAAAUCAAUCUUCUAAUGAUGCAUUACUUCACGUGGCCAAAGUAAUACAUGAAUAAGACAAAGGCAUAUGCCCAUUAUUCCAUUUCGUUCAAACCGACUGGGAUCUUAGAUAAUAUUAAGUUAAAAUUAUUUAAUAUACUAUUAAGAGAUAAUAAUUAUGAUUAAAACCACAAUAUUAUCCCUCAAUAAUGAUAAGAAAUUACCUUAACAACUCCACGAAGGUCUAGAACUCUACUCAUUCAACGGUCUCUAUCGUUCGGGCCGAUGGUGUAAUUUUAGGUCCAAACAGUAAGCCUUUCGGAUUUUGGGGGUAUGAUUUAACUGCGGUUUUAUUGGUGGGAGCAUUUUUUGCUCACUUCUGUUUGACUUUUACAAAAUAAAAAACUCUCAAAUUUUAAGAAAUGGAAAGAAAAAAAAUCCCAGCAAAACACAUGCCUCAAACUCGCCAUGGCUAUCUUCUCUAUCCCUAAACUCAGCAAAUCACAGCCCAAUAUCUCAAGAAAUUCAUUGGAUCUUGGCUCAUUUGGAUGAGAUUCCAUGAAGAUAGCACACAAUGGUGGAGCCACCUUACGGCCAUGGUAUGUCACAGCCCGUCCCGGAAUUUUAAUUCCGAUGACGUGAAAUUACAGAAACGCCCUUAAACGGGAUUAAGGUGCGUCAUUUAUCUAUUGGUUUUUACCUAAAUCCCCUAAUCUAUAUUAAUUGGAAUAUUAUUUAGUGUCAGAAACAUAAACUUAGACUUAGGGUUACAAUUACAUACUAAAGUUUUAAUGUUGGUUUUGGAAUUUAUCACGUGGGAUCCCCACCUCCUGAAUUUCUUCCCCAAAACCCGUAGGUUGUCUCUCUCUUCCUCAGCUCUCCCUAGUCACUCUCUCUCUCUUUCUUCAUUUCAGAAACACUCUCUCACUCUCUCUCUUACUCUCGAACUCACGGCAAACACCAAGAACAACCACAAUUCUACACGAACGUCCAAUCUAAGAUCACCAUCGUGAUCUUGGGAACUUCACGAGCACGGGGGUACAAGUUUCAGGUGAGUUCUAUUUCAAAAAACCCUAGUUUCAAAUCACCCCGUGGAUUUGCACUGUUGACAAACUUUAAGUUGGCCGUGUUUUAGGUUAAACAAAGCUCACAGUGAGCUUAAGGAGGUCACGAGGAGGCUCGGAGUGCCUUGUUUGAACAAAAUGGACGUCGGGAUCGUUGGGUUCGAGUUUGGCCGAAUUUGAGGAAUUUUGGAAGGUAUGAUCUAGUUGUUUUUAGGCCCUAAAACCUUUCCAACGUGAUAGUACAUGUUAAAUGCUUCAUUUUGGUAUAAAAUACGAAGAAAUUGGUUGAAAAACGAAGGAGAAUAGUGGGUUUGAAAAUUUUCCAGAAACCGGCGAACAGUCGCCGGCGACCGGCGACUCGCCGGAGAAGACAGGGAAUAUUCCAUCAAAAACUGACGGAAUAUGCCAACGCCGUUACCGUUACCGUUGGAUAUUUAACGGAAAAUGCUAGGAUUUAACGGAAUAUUCCCUAACGCCGUUCACUGUAGCCGUCUGUGUGCAUGUCACGUGGCCGCGCGUGGGGGCGCGUAGGUCCGUGACACGUCAGGCGCGUGGGGGCGCGUGAGACCUCCAAAAAUUAUUUUAAAAAUAUAUGGGGAUGAUCCUGAGGUUGUGUAGGUCACGGUGGUAUAUUCAUAUACCCAAUUUGAGCAAUAUAUGAGGAGUUAUUAACUAAGAUUUGGGUUAGGCGUUAAAUAACGUCAAAAUGGUUACUUUUGUAUAUAGGUGAGGUUUAUGCGGGCAUCGGGCAUGGCCAAGGGAUGCUCAGGGACUUACGAGACGUCGAUGUAAUAUGUGAGUGGGCAGUUUUGUUUUCCGUAUAUAUAUAUAUACUUGACGCUUUCCCAGAAAUUGAAUUAGAAUGAAAUUAUGUUUUAAAUGAAAGGUAUAUAGAAUGAUAUGAAAACGUGAAUUGAAAGAUCAUGCAUAGAAGUAUAUGAAAUAUAUAUGGAAAUGUAAAUUGAAUUGCCAUGCAUGAAAUGAUAUGAAAAGUAUGAUUUGAGAUAUAUGAUGCAUAUGAAUGAAUGUUGCGGCGGACGCACAGGUGAGUAUCAGGUGAGUAUUUAAUUACUGUUAUGAUGAUGUUGAUGUAUAUUGAGCUCAAAUCCUGCACCUUGGUUUAGUGCUUAUAGUAUUCACCGCAUCGCACGCUCGCCUUGGAUCCAAGUAGAUGCUGGUCGCACAGUCCACGCGGAGUGGGUGCGACGGGCCAGUCGAAGAGUGUUAGUGAGAUUUCGACUGGUGGGUGACCUUAGAUUAUGUGCACAGAUGAUUAAUGAGAAAGCACUAGAGCGUAACUUGUGUGCAGAAGGCCGGACGGGUCACAGAGGUGACUCCGGUAGAGUGAUAGUGAUAGAUUUUGAGCUCUAGGUUCAACCGUACAGGCUAUUAGAGGGCCUCCGGUUGAUUACUUUCUUGCACCUGAUAUGAUUAUUGUUGAUGCAUCCAUAUUUAACUGUUGAAUUAGACAUGGCAUGGCAUGAUUGAUAAAGAAAAAUGUUGAGAUAGUAAAAAUGAAGUUUUGAGAAUAUAUAUGUAUAUUUAUAUUUUACAUUCUGGGAAAGUAUACAGGUUUUACAGAGAGGGGUUACAACGUUUUGAGAAAUGUUUGGAUUUGGAAAAGAAUUGUUUUACUGACCCACUCAAUUUUGGUUUUGCGCCCCUCCAGGUUAAAGAAUAGCUGAGGUGUGGUGGCUACGAGGAAUUCGACGAUGUUCUGACAGAUUGGACAAAAUUAGGACUCACCUUCGGGUGUAUCAACUUAUAAAUUGUAUCUUAAAGCUUCCGUACUGUGCAAAUGGUUACGUCACUCUCACGUGACGGCCAGCAUGCCCUCCUUCGGGACGGGGUGUGUCAGUUGGUAUCAGAGCAUGGUUGCAAUCUUGGACAUUUUGAGAAGUUCUAGUGAAUUCUGUCAGAACUACACCGCCUCGUAGCAAGCCACUUAGUUAGAGGAAUUUAGUCUCCCUAAUAUAGCGGUUUAGGGAAAACUAUUAUUAUGGUGAUUCAAUCUAUUAUAAAAAGGGACAUUUUAAGACGGAUUAUGAGUCGAAUUUGAAUCACCUUAUGAAAUGAUGAACCUGAGGGAGCGAAGUAACGGUUUAACCAUUUGGAAAAGAUGUUUCAGAUUAUGCAAGUCAAAGGAAUCUUCCUUCUGACAAGGGGUCGAGACGACUACCUGGUUUUGGGUAUGAAUUUGUAUCCUGGUGGAAACAGGAUUGUUAAUUGUUGUCACCGGAGAAAACAGCUGAUUGAGAAUUAUUUAAGGACUUGUUUAAGGAAAAGUUUAUCCCUCCGGCAUUUAUCGAUGGUAGUAAGCAAGAGUUUGCAAAUGUGAAUCAAGGAAGUUGACGAUAAAUGAAUAUUAUAGAAAGUUUUCAGACUUGCCUCGUUCCAUCCAGAUAUUGUUGUUAAUUUGGUGGAGGUGUUAUGUUGUUUUAAGCUGGGUGGCAAAAAGGGAAGUGGUAUUUUGGGUGACCACUAUCCAGUGUAGUUCUUAUCAGGAGUAUGCUAGAUGUUGUUGAGUCUUGAGGACUCUGAGAACAUGAGCAACGAGAAUAAAGAAGAAUAAGAAAUGAAUGGGAAUUAAAAGAAGACGAUAAAGUUAAUGAUUCGUCAUAUCAAUGAUAUAGAAAGAUUCAGAGCUUCGAAAGAAGUGAAGCUAGAGUUAAUUCUUCCAGCUGAGGUUUUAAUGUCGCUGGUCAGAAUAAAAGUGAUGGAUAUACUGGUAAUCCCAGAUAUUUGAGACAAGGUGUCUCGAGUAAAGGAAAUGUACCUUGUGCAACAGGUACAAAAUUAACACUUUGGGAAGUGUGAAAUUAAUGAAUGUGUUUAUGUGAACAGAGGGGACACAGAAUUGUGAAUCGUCCCUAAAAAUCAGUUGUACCCAACAGUUUUCUAUGACAUCGUAGUAUCGAUUCAGCAGGUUUAUGGAUUUAGUAGUUUGGUCGGAUUGACCGUGGGUACAGAGAGAUUUGAUGAGUAUGUUCAGCCAUACAGGCCACGAGAGGUGGAUUCGACUGACGCAUGAGAAAUUGGUGAGUUAUAGGCUCGGCCGUAUCGACCACGCGGAGUGGAUCCGGCCGACGUAUUAUUGAGAUAAGAGUUGAAUCAGCCGUAUUGGUCAUUCUAGUUGACUUCGGCUGAUAUAUUUCUUAUUAUGUAUGUUAUUACUUAGAGAGUAGUAAAUAAAUGUAGUUGAGACGAGUGUAUGUAUUUUGCAUUGAGUGGCAAAAUAGUAUUGUUAUAUCUUUGAGAGUGGUUGCCUACUUAUCGAGACAACGAUGAUUUAUCAGUAUUGCGGGCUGCAGACCGUAAUAUUAAUAACUCAUUCGUGGAUUCGUUAAGCAAGCAACCUGGUAGAUUAUUUUAUGUUAGUAUUGUACUUAUUUAGAAUGCUUAUUAAUAAUAGAAUAUAUAUUGUAUCAGUUAAUUCUGUUUCAUUAGAUUGGUUGGUUAUAAUUGUGACUAAAUGGAUUGUUACGGGAAACCAGUCACUUUCCAUCGAUCUGGAUGAUCAGAGAUUACCUUAAUGAGUGGGCAUGCAAAGUGAAGUGAGUUCAGCCAUUAUUUAUGCUGUGAAAGCAAAGAGAUUGUUUGAAAGGCUGCCCAAGAAUAUUUAGUUCAUGUGGUACUAAAGGAUGUUGCUCGGAGAAGUGUGAAAAAAAAUAAAUAAAUAAAUAAAAAAUAAAAAAUAAAAAAAAAUGAAAAAGGGGUUAGACUUUUCUUGAUGUCUUCCCUGAAAGUAUACCUGGAUUGCCUUCAGGCAGAGAUAUGAGGUUCACUAUUGAUUUGUUGCCAGGUAUAAAUUUAUGUUAAAGAUUGGUUCAUGAUGAGUUAAGGGAAUUGGAAAUUCAGUUGAAAGAAUUGGUUGAUAAAAGUUUUAUUCAACCUAGUACAACGCUUUGGGGGAGCCCCAGUUCGUUGAUGAGGAAGAAAAUGGAUUUUUAAGGCUAUCCAUUGAUUAUAGAUAAUGGAAUCGGGUAACGAAUGAGAACCGUUAUCCAUUGUGGUGUAUUGACGCUCAUUUGAUCAGUUCAAAGGUGCUUGUAUAUUUUCAAAGAUUGACUUGAAGUCUGUCUAUUAUCAAUUGAAGAUUAUGAGUAACGUUGAUCAUAAGAUGGUUUUUCUGGACUUGUUAUAGUCUUUAUGAAGUUUGGUGAUGCUAUAUGGAUACUCAUGCUGUUUUAUGAGUUGAUGGAUGAAGUAUUCCAAUAAUGCCUUGAUAAAUAGAUAUCAUUUUCAUUGAAGAUAUCCUGGCAUAUUCUGAGCCAGAGCAGAGCAUGUAAACGUAUUAAGUCGGUGGAACAAAGAUUGGAAGAAUGUCGAUUGUAUGCUAAGUUUAGCAAAUGUGAAUGUUAGAUGAAUCAAGUAGCAUUUCUGGGAUAUGUUAUAUAUUCUUAAGGUAUUCAAGUGAAUCCUUAAAAGAUAGCAGAAAUUGAGAAUUUGGAACAACCACGAGUCGUAAUUGAGAUUUGGAAUUUCUUAACUUACCAGGCUAUCUUGGAUGGUUGUGAAAGAUUUUUCAGUCAUUGCUUUGUCAUUGACGAGACUGUUGAGAAAGGAGGUUAUGUAUGAGUGGGAAGGAAAUUGUGAGCAAAGGAUUCAACAACUGAAGUAUUUCCUCACUCAUGCACGUAUUUUAGUAAUCCCAGAGAAUAGUGGUAAUCAUAAAUUUUUAGUGAUGUUUCUUGAAUGGUAUUGGAUGCAUGUUGAUGCAAAUGUUAGGGUGAUUGCAUACGUUUCACGACAAAUGGAAUCUCAUGAGAUGAAUUACCCUACUGGUGAUUUGGAAGUCACGAUUACCAUCCUUGCUGUGAAGUUAUGGAGACAUUAUAUUUUAGUGAGAAUGCAAGAUUUUACAAAUCAAAAGAGUCUCCAAUAUUUGUUUACUCAGAAGGAUUUUGAUAUGAGGCAACAAAGGUGGAUUGAAUUACUUAGUGAUUAUGAUUGUACGAUCAGGGUGAUCGUGAAUUGUUCUAGCUGAAGCACUUGGUGAGAAGACUACAGUAAGAUUAAUAUCUGGCACGUUUGCCAAGAGUAUCAUCUUGUGGAUUGAAAACCAACGGAAGAAAAAUUAAGAAUGGAAGAUCGAGAAGAAGUUAUACUUGUUAAGUAACAAGUUAGUACAUUUACUCCAGUGUUGAGUAACAACCUUUCCCAGACAGUGCAACAUUACUUAUUUGUUUUUAUGGAAAAGAGAAUUGGUUUACGGAACUGCUGAGUUUCUUAAGUAUGUUGGUUGUGCAGUUUCCGAAGUAACGCCAUAAGGAUCAUGAAAUGUGUCAUGUGAGUCGGUUUUUGAUGACUUGUGAAUGGAAUGUUUCUGGGUAGAGAAAUAUUCGAUCAAGAAAGAGUUUUAGUAGACCUUGAGACUAUGGAUGAGUCUCCUCAAAGUAUUCAGGUGAUUAAGUUAACCUGAAGUAACCAGGAAUGGCAAAAGAGAUCAACAGAUGGAUAUGCCACUAAUUGAGUGUGUAAGGUAAAUGGUUUGAUAUUUUUGGAAUUUCACCAUGAACAGAAAUAGUAAGAUUUAGAAAGGAAGACAAGAUAAGUCUUGAACACAUCAGUCCGUUUUGAUCAUUAAAGGAAUCGACGAAGUUGCAUACAAGUUUGUGAUGCCUUCAGAAUUGGCUAAGGUACAUAAUGUGUUCCAUGUCUCGAUGCUUCGGCAUUAUGUGUCAGAUCCUUCACAUGUGAUUCCUCCUCAACCAUUGGAAAUUAAUCCGGAUUUGACGUAUGAUGAGGAACCAGUGACUAUACUGGAUUGGAAAGAUAAGACUUUGAGGAAUAAGACCGUGAGCUUGGUAAAAGUAUUGUGGAGAAAUCAUUCAGCUGAAGAAACUACUUGGGAGACAGAAGAAAGGAUGAGAGAUAUGUAUCCGAGACUAUUCUAUGAGUUUUGAUGUUAUGGUUGGUGACUGGAAUUUCGGGGACGAAAUUCUAUAAGGAGGGGAGAUUGUCACAGCCCGUCCCGGAAUUUUAAUUCCGAUGACGUGAAAUUACAGAAACGCCCUUAAACGGGAUUAAGGUGCGUCAUUUAUCUAUUGGUUUUUACCUAAAUCCCCUAAUCUAUAUUAAUUGGAAUAUUAUUUAGUGUCAGAAACAUAAACUUAGACUUAGGGUUACAAUUACAUACUAAAGUUUUAAUGUUGGUUUUGGAAUUUAUCACGUGGGAUCCCCACCUCCUGAAUUUCUUCCCCAAAACCCGUAGGUUGUCUCUCUCUUCCUCAGCUCUCCCUAGUCACUCUCUCUCUCUUUCUUCAUUUCAGAAACACUCUCUCACUCUCUCUCUUACUCUCGAACUCACGGCAAACACCAAGAACAACCACAAUUCUACACGAACGUCCAAUCUAAGAUCACCAUCGUGAUCUUGGGAACUUCACGAGCACGGGGGUACAAGUUUCAGGUGAGUUCUAUUUCAAAAACCCUAGUUUCAAAUCACCCCGUGGAUUUGCACUGUUGACAAACUUUAAGUUGGCCGUGUUUUAGGUUAAACAAAGCUCACAGUGAGCUUAAGGAGGUCACGAGGAGGCUCGGAGUGCCUUGUUUGAACAAAAUGGACGUCGGGAUCGUUGGGUUCGAGUUUGGCCGAAUUUGAGGAAUUUUGGAAGGUAUGAUCUAGUUGUUUUUAGGCCCUAAAACCUUUCCAACGUGAUAGUACAUGUUAAAUGCUUCAUUUUGGUAUAAAAUACGAAGAAAUUGGUUGAAAAACGAAGGAGAAUAGUGGGUUUGAAAAUUUUCCAGAAACCGGCGAACAGUCGCCGGCGACCGGCGACUCGCCGGAGAAGACAGGGAAUAUUCCAUCAAAACUGACGGAAUAUGCCAACGCCGUUACCGUUACCGUUGGAUAUUUAACGGAAAAUGCUAGGAUUUAACGGAAUAUUCCCUAACGCCGUUCACUGUAGCCGUCUGUGUGCAUGUCACGUGGCCGCGCGUGGGGGCGCGUAGGUCCGUGACACGUCAGGCGCGUGGGGGCGCGUGAGACCUCCAAAAAUUAUUUUAAAAAUAUGGGGAUGAUCCUGAGGUUGUGUAGGUCACGGUGGUAUAUUCAUAUACCCAAUUUGAGCAAUAUAUGAGGAGUUAUUAACUAAGAUUUGGGUUAGGCGUUAAAUAACGUCAAAAUGGUUACUUUUGUAUAGGUGAGGUUUAUGCGGGCAUCGGGCAUGGCCAAGGGAUGCUCAGGGACUUACGAGACGUCGAUGUAAUAUGUGAGUGGGCAGUUUUGUUUUCCGUAUAUAUAUAUACUUGACGCUUUCCCAGAAAUUGAAUUAGAAUGAAAUUAUGUUUUAAAUGAAAGGUAUAUAGAAUGAUAUGAAAACGUGAAUUGAAAGAUCAUGCAUAGAAGUAUAUGAAAUAUAUAUGGAAAUGUAAAUUGAAUUGCCAUGCAUGAAAUGAUAUGAAAAGUAUGAUUUGAGAUAUAUGAUGCAUAUGAAUGAAUGUUGCGGCGGACGCACAGGUGAGUAUCAGGUGAGUAUUUAAUUACUGUUAUGAUGAUGUUGAUGUAUAUUGAGCUCAAAUCCUGCACCUUGGUUUAGUGCUUAUAGUAUUCACCGCAUCGCACGCUCGCCUUGGAUCCAAGUAGAUGCUGGUCGCACAGUCCACGCGGAGUGGGUGCGACGGGCCAGUCGAAGAGUGUUAGUGAGAUUUCGACUGGUGGGUGACCUUAGAUUAUGUGCACAGAUGAUUAAUGAGAAAGCACUAGAGCGUAACUUGUGUGCAGAAGGCCGGACGGGUCACAGAGGUGACUCCGGUAGAGUGAUAGUGAUAGAUUUUGAGCUCUAGGUUCAACCGUACAGGCUAUUAGAGGGCCUCCGGUUGAUUACUUUCUUGCACCUGAUAUGAUUAUUGUUGAUGCAUCCAUAUUUAACUGUUGAAUUAGACAUGGCAUGGCAUGAUUGAUAAAGAAAAAUGUUGAGAUAGUAAAAAUGAAGUUUUGAGAAUAUAUAUGUAUAUUUAUAUUUUACAUUCUGGGAAAGUAUACAGGUUUUACAGAGAGGGGUUACAACGUUUUGAGAAAUGUUUGGAUUUGGAAAAGAAUUGUUUUACUGACCCACUCAAUUUUGGUUUUGCGCCCCUCCAGGUUAAAGAAUAGCUGAGGUGUGGUGGCUACGAGGAAUUCGACGAUGUUCUGACAGAUUGGACAAAAUUAGGACUCACCUUCGGGUGUAUCAACUUAUAAAUUGUAUCUUAAAGCUUCCGUACUGUGCAAAUGGUUACGUCACUCUCACGUGACGGCCAGCAUGCCCUCCUUCGGGACGGGGUGUGUCAUGGUAGGCUUGGGCCUACCCUGAAUUUCUUUUUCUUAUAAAUCUCUACUACUAUUAAUUAAAUUUUAUAAUACCACUAUUAACUUAAAUUUGUUUUGUAUUGGUUAGUCCAAUUAACCUUAAUCCAACAAAUAUAAAGCUUUUAAUUUUUGAACUAAAGUCCAAAACUAUAAUUCUAUAAUAAUUUUAGUUGACCAUAUUUUCUGUUUCAUGCCUAUAAAUAAUAUUUUUCCUUUACUUGCAGACUAUUAUUUUGGUUAAUUUCUCAUUUCUCUCUAUUAUAUCAUCUAUGAAAUCAAGAAGAGAAAAAGUUUUUGUGUCAUAAAAAAAAAAAAAAACCUUUCAAAUUCUCUUAUGCCUUAUGUUUUAACCAAGGUAUAAAAUAUCGAUGAUAUCGGAAAUAUCGGUAGUCCAAAAACACGGAAAUUUCGAUAGAAAUAUCGUGAUAUUAUCGAUAUCGAUAAAAAUUGAAUAAAAACCACGGAAAUUGUAAGAAAAACUUGGAAAUUUUAUUGAAACUUUGCAGGAUAUUUAUUUAGUCAAUUAUUUAUUAGUUUAUCACAAAAAAUUGGAAGAAAAUGCAUUGCAUGAUGGAUUUAACUGAUUUAAGUUGAUUAUACAGCGAGCUGGCAAACAUUGUGAGUGUAGAAAAUAUGUAGUAAUUAAUGAAAGAAGUUUAAACACACCAUAAUCAUUUAUAUAUAAUGAAUUAGUACAAUAUUUUACACUUUAUACAUUACAUAGUAAGAUACAUGAGUGACUUACUACCACAUAAAGUUCCUAUGAGGUUCAAAAUUUUCACUAUCUUCAUCAUCUCUAUGUGUAGAGUAAGUGUAUUGUGAAGAGUAGUCAGCAACCAUGGCAAUUGUGAAGUGUAGUCAGCAACCAUGACAAUAGCUUUCAAGAACCAAAACUCAAAAGUCAAUAGGAAACCGAAUACUUCGGUAUUUUUCGGGAUUACCAAACAAAUGGGAUUUGGAAACCAAUCCCAUAUCGAAAAUUUGGGUAUUUUUCGAGAUGGGAUUCCCAAACUUCAGGAUGGUUUUGGUUUGGGAUUUUUCGGUUUGGGUUUGGGACUUUUUUUAUUUGGUUUGGGAUAUUCGGGAAUUUUUUCCGGCCCUACCAUGUAAGUGACCAAAUAAAAAAUUAAAAAAUUAAAAACCACAUGUCAUUGACUAAGUAAUUAAUUGACACAAUUUAAAAUAUAAUACCACAAAAAAUUUGGAAUAUGUGCAAAUUUGUUUCUUGUAAAAAGAAUUGAAAACAAAACCAUAUAUUAUCACAAAAACAUAAGUGAUAUGGUGGUUAAGGCGUUGAAGGAGUCAAAUGGGAGGGGUUCGAAUCCCUCUAUGUGCAAAAUUGAGACUUUUCAGAAAUUUUCAAGUAUUUUUGGAUUUCAUAUCGUGAUAUUAUCGCGAUGUAUUAACGAUAAUUAAGGGGAUAAGUCACGAAAUAUCGUCAUCUAAAAAAAACGAUAAUAUCUGCGAUAUUUCACCGAUAUUUUCGAUAUUUUGGUCCUUGGUUUUAACAAAGGUGUAGCCAUUCACUACUACGGUCUGGUGGUAUUCCUCUUCACUUAGAAGUAAGAGGUCUUAGGUUCGAAUCUCGUAGAAGGUGAAUUUGAUACCAAAUUAGGCUACCUAUUGUAUGGAUUAGCCGAACUCCCCCUCCCUUUAGUGUAAAAAUAUCGAUGUACUCAAAAAAAAAAAAAAAACAAGGGUGUAGGCAUUUGUGUUUACAAAAGGAAUGCUUGGUCACUAACAUUAAGUUUAAUAUCAAGAAUGAACAAUAAAUGGAUGCGCUUUUAAUGUUUUAUUCUCAACUCUUGAUAUUAAAUUCAAUUGUAGUUACCCAUGUAUUCUUGGUCACCAAAAGAACGAGACUGUGUUUCUAUAUGUAUUAUGCCCAUUUCAAUCUAAAGCGUGCCCCUCCUAACAUGAAUUUCUGGCUCCGUCACUAAUAACAGACAAAGAGGGAGAAGUAUGAAGAAAGAACAAAAGAGGGAGGAAAUGGGAGGAAGAGGAAGAUAGGCGAUAGAAAAUUUUCUUUUGAAAUCGGAUCGAUGUAAAAUGUGCUUUUGGAAUUAGGACGAUGGAAAGAGAGGCGUCGGCAGGACUAGCAAUACCCUACUGGGAGCACGGGACUAGCUAUAUCACGUUAGUGAGGCACGGAAGGCGAGCGAGUCGCACCUAGUUUUAUUUAUUGUUAGUCUGUGACUUACCAAACAUGAGAUUUUAGUCCAACUUAAGUCAGUAACCCCUAAGGAGGUGUAACAAACGGCCCCUUGUACUUUGCUAAUACCUCGUCGAAACACAACAUAAAAGUGUUGUUUUCAUAGGAACAUUUUUUUUAAAAGGCUCUCUAGGUUAAGAAAACCCUAGGAGAGCGACAAGAACUUCCCAACAGAAAUUCUAGAUUUCGCCGAAUUUGAUUGCUCUGUCGCCUUGUUGCGGUGAGAGAUGGCUCUAAGUGAGUCCUAUUACUUUAUGGUAUGGUAUAACAUCAAGAGAUUCUCUGCACAAUGUUGUGGGUUUUGUGUGAGAAGGUGGUCAUGGAUGGUCAGUAGCCUCAUCACUAUGGAGGAUAUUGUCACAAGUUUCUGGAAGGUUUGGGAUAACAGAGGAUGAACAGAAGGUGAUCUUUGUUGACAAACAGAAGACAUUGGCCUUGAAGUCAAAUAAGGUUUUUCUUGUGGGCAUGGUCCUUACAUAAAAGCCGAUGAACAACGAGAACUUCAAAUGACAGAUGAGGAAUAUGUGGAGACCUAAAACUAAUGUUCUUAUCUUCGAACGGGAGAAUGAUAGGUUUGCUUUUGGAUUUAACUCGAGGCAAGAGCGUUCCAUGGUGCAAAAGGGAAGUCUUUGGUUAUACAAUAAGCAAACUUUGUUAGUCCUAGAUGAGGCAAAUGAUGUUACACGCCCGGUUACAGUUGCUUUGAAGUUUUCAAGAAUUUUGGAUGCAAAUCAAAAGGGCUUUCUUUCUGCUACAUGAUGAGACAAAUGAGCUCAUUCCUAGGAAAUUUGUUGGGUGAGUAUGUGUUAACAAAUCAAAGCCGGAAGAUGAGCAGUAUGGUAGUAUUUUGCGCAUACAUGUGAAGAUUGAUGUCACUAAGCCUUUGCGCCAGUGUGUGGCUAUUCAAUUGGAAGGACGAGUGGUGGAAGUUGACAUUUGUUAUGAGAAGUUGCCCCUUACAUGUUUACUUUGUGAGAUGAUGGAUCACGUUAAGGAACAGUGCAAUAGGUUUAAGGGUGCUUGUGUUGAUGAUCAUGCUAAACCUUACAGAAAGCCGGUUGGGAAAAAGUAUGGUCUCGGGUAAGAAGGAGGUUGGUCAAUGAAGGCACCUGGGUCUGAGGUGGGUGAAGAUGAUGAGAACUGAUCGAGUUAAAGGCGUCAGAGUUGGGUUGGCAGGGAGAAUUGGGUACCGCCGAGAUGGUGUAGGUUUCCUAAGAUAUUGCAAAUACAUAUGUUGUUUUUGGAAAUAAUAUAGCAUUAAGUGUAGGCCGCCAUUCUAGGGAAUCUCUCCUGGAUCUUAAUGAAAUGGCUAUUGAUGAUGAGAUGCUGAGUGAGAACCCCUUAGCUAUUAUGCCUUAUGAAGCCCCACAUUUUAAUUAUGCAGGUCAAUGCUUGGAGAGGGUUGGCUCUUCCAUUCCAACCUAUCAUUCAGUGCCGCAAUCCCCUAUCCCUUUUAAUGGUGUUAGGAUUUUUGGUACGUCAUUAACGCAAUAAAUAUCUCACCAACCGCAAAGGAUUCAGGAUGGGCCCUAUCUUGUAGGUCUGAGUGAUGUGGCCUUGUAGUUGGGUCCAAGUUUGAUGGGGAAUGAAGAGUUAAGGGUCCAGAGACAUGUGGAUUUAGGGAGAGCCCAGUCUAAAAUGUUCGUGUGUUCAUUGGGGUCAAACCAUUUGGCUUAGCACCAUUCAUAUAUGGUGAUGGGGAAACAGGAAGAGGUAAGAAGCACAAGGUUGGGGUGGCCCAAAGAAAGAAAAGUAGAAGCUCUAAAAGAGGAAAAAAUAAAUUGCCAGACCUUCGUAAGAGGACAAGUCGGGAUAAAGGUUUGGAAAGAGAAUCACCAAUAAUGAGGAAGUGUUUUGUUGAUAAUGCACCAAUGAGUUUAACAACGGUGGACCUGACAUGUAUCAUCCCCGUCGAGACCAAUGAGUUGCAUAAGUUGGAAUUGCUAGGGGCUUGGGAACCUCCGAGUAAUUCGUGCACUAAAUAUGCUGGUCCUUGCUAAGACCCUAUGGUGAUUUUUCUAUGUGAAACGAAGAGCUCGAAAGGGUAUAUGGAAAGAUUAAAAUCACAGUUGAAUUUUGAUUGUUUGUUUUCAGUACCAAAUAGAGGUAGUUCAGGUGGUUUGUGUGCGAUGUGGAAGGAGGAGGCCAAUUUGUCUUUACGGUCUUACUCUAAUAAUCACCUGGACUUUGAUGUUGGAGGAAUGAGGGAGCCUAAUCAGUGAAGGCUCACCUGCUUUUAUGGUUUCCCUGCGGAGGUUGAUAGACAUACGUCCUGGAAUUUACUUGGGCAACUCUGAGCUAAUUCUUCACUACGCUGGUGUUGCAUUGGUGAUUUUAAUGAAGUAAUUAAUGCAGAUGAGCAAGAAGGUGAUAAUCUACGUUGUGAGCGACAGAUGGAGGGGUUUCAUAAUCGUCUCUUACAGCGUAAUUUGAUUGAUUUGGGCUACUUGGGUAACAAGUUCACUUGGGCUACAACACGAGGAGGAGGUAUUAAAGUGAUAAAUAUGCACUAAUAUGUAGGCCACAUUUGCACAACAUUGAUAAAUAUUAUAUAUUUAAAAAUAAAAAAGUAUAAAUUGAUAAAGUUGCAAAACAUCAAAAAGCAAUAAAGCCCCUUUUGAAAACAAUCUGAGUGAACUGUUGUUUGGCCUUACACAAAGUUAUAAAAAGAAUAUGAUACCAGAUGCUUGGAAUUUAAGAUAAUAAUAUUAUAUUAGGACAUCCUUGGCCGUUAGAUAAGAUGUGUGUUAGCUGGAGGCACUGAAUCCGACGAAUUGGAAACGUAUUGGAAGCUUCGACUGACUCAUUUUUCACGAGGGAUUAUUAUCAGUGUAUUUUUGUUCUUCACUCUCAAACGGUAAUAAUACUUGCUAUCAUAUUUAUCACUGUUAAAUGAUUUUAAAUAAAAUUUGCAUCUAUCUACUACGUAAAUUUUAAAAUUUAAACUCAUAUAACGAUAAUAAAUAAGAUCGUAAAUAUACAUCAUAAUUUAUAAUGAUGAACAAAAUUGCUCUGUUGUUAUAACAUGGGAGCCAAAAGUGGGUUGCAAAUUUUAAUAAGGACAUUUCUUUAUUUGUAUUUAUUUUUGCGUGAGAAUAAAACAUUUCAAAAAACAAUAGUUGUUGUGGGACAUAUUUAACUGACUAAUAUAAAAAGAGAAAAGGGAGGUGCAACAGAGUUUGAUGUGAUUUUGAGGUGUGUAGUUUCUCACCUUAUUGUGUCCAUUUAUAUUAGUAGGAAAAAUAAAAUCUUUACCCAAUAAGUAUUACAAAUAUUAUAAAAAAUUAUAAAAUAUGACAGAAUGCCAUAAAAAUUUCGUAAGAUUUAUACAAUCAUAUUCCUAACUAAAUCAAAACUGCAACAACAUUAAUAUUUAUCAUUUUUGUUUUGUCAGAUGGAAUACUAGUAUUUCUAACACUUUGUUUUGUUUAUCAUAUAUUUUGGAAAAAUAAUUUUGGUGCCCACAUGCCAACAUCAUUUUUGUCAAUCAAUUAUAGAACGUGUAGACAUGAAAUUCAUAUAAAAAAAAAGAAAAAAAAAGUAAAAGUAAAAGAAAAAAAAAACAAAAUUAUGUUGUAAGCUGUAGAUGGUAAAGUAAAUUGGACUAUGCUACAUAGUUAGAGUUCCAUAAAAAAAAAAAAAAAAAAAAAAUCAGUUUGAGGUUGUUGGGUUUGUAUUUUAAUCUUUCCAAGAGACUUUGUAGUUUCUUUUGCAAGUAUGAGUAUCCCGCUUUAUGCCGCAAUGUGGUUAAUUAUUGGUGUUGGAACUCUAUGUAUUUCUAUUUGCUGGUUUGCAUGUGAUUCUAUACAUAUCAUUUUAACUUUGAGAAAUAUUAAGGAGACUUUUUAAAAGUUGGGCUUUUCAUGGAUUUUUCGUCACUUCAUGUUUUUGGUAUAAUUUCCGUGCCAACAUUAUAAAAACAUACAUUGUACUAAAAACAUAGUCACUAAGUACUACAGUCUGGUUGUAUUCCUCUUCACUUUGAAAUGAAAGGUCUUAGGUUCGAAUCUCGUGGAUAAUGAAUUUGAUACCAAAUUAGGUUGCCCAUUAUGUGGCUUAGCCGAACUCUCCCUCCCCUUAGUGUAAAAAUAUUGAUGUACUAAAAAAAAGGUAGUGAAGAGUCAAUUUUGAGAGUCUCCUUAGUAUUUCUCUUUUAACUUUGCGUUUGAACUCGUCACGAAUGUGGUAUGGAAACUGAUGAGGGGCGAAAGUUUUACCCAUAUUUGAUGUCUUGUUUGCUUUUAAAAUUGAUGUCUUACAAUUGAAAUAAUUUUUUUUUGCUAAUUAAACGAAAUAAUAUUUCUAUAUAAUUAAAUAGUUGAGACCAACCCAAAUGAAAGGUGUUCUCAUAAUAUAUAACCUUGAUUACGUAGAGAUAAGAUACUCAUGUGCUCAUAUUCCUUGGAGUAUCCAAAGAAUUAUGCUAACUAGAUGGACUUGACUUGAGCACCAACCAGCUUAACCUAUGUACACUAUAUGUCUGUCAUGAUUACUAUAAAUAGAGGUUAUGAGGUGAGGGUUAGAGGAUUUCCUUGCAAUCGAAAUUUAUAGAGGAAUUUCUCCCUCGUAGCCUUGUCACAAAAAUCUCUUUAUACGUUCGGUUCAUCACAGUAAAAGCGGAGACCUAUAGGGAAAACCUAGAGGAAACUCGAUGUAGCUAAUUCAUCGCACGGCAUCCUAAGUCUGUACAUGAAAGCUCUAAUUUUGUGCAUUCUUGUUCGUGGUUUGUAGGAUCAUGUAGGAGGGCUGGUAGUCUUAAGGCGAGGAGCAAACUCGGUGUAUUCCACCAAGAAAGAUCCUAAUCUUGAGUUACAUGUAUGUCACGAAUAUAUGCACGAAAAUCACAAUAUCCAUCAUAAAAAAACUCAAAAUCACGUUAUUUUAAGUGGUUUGAUUUUUAGGUGUUUAUUAAUUGGGAUAUGUUCUUCCAUAUGAGAUGAACUUAUCCUCAAAAUGUCAUGCAAAAAGAUGCCACAAUUUAAGGGUGUGUUUGUUUGGCCUCGUUAAGUUUCACUAGAUUGGCUAGGAUUACUAAUUAAUGAAAUCCCAUGUUUGUUUGCAAGGGGACUAGGUUUAAUGAGACUAAAGGGGACUCGCCCAGACUAAACGCCUCACUAGGCGGUCUUAGCGAGCCCUGUCCCUCCCUCCCUGGAAACUGGGUGGAUUGCUAAGACCAGCUCCACUUUGCCCCUCCUCUGUUCACCCCUUCGUGAGUUCUCCACUUUGUAUCUGCCGACUCCUAUUUUUAUUUGUUUUUCCAGAUAACUCAUCUUUCAGCGAAGUUGCCAUGGAUCUGUGGUUAGAAACUCAUUUCCCAGAAAACCCCUCUUCCUAGAAAACUCAUUUUCUCUCAGAAACUCGUUCUCUAAGAAAUUCAUUCCAUGGAGUUUUGUAAACCCAUUUUGUGGAAUUUUGCAGUCUAUCCCUUUUCAAAACCAAAUUCAACUCCCAAAAUUUGAACCCAGAAAAUCCAAAAAAGUCAGAAAACUAGAAAACCCAAAAAAAGCUAGAAACUGAGAAAACCUAAAACCAAAACCAGAUCCAACCCCCAUCUCCCACCUUCGAGCUAAUCACAUAUGCACCCCGCCUUAACUCCUAAAUUUUCAUUAUCCUUCUUGCUCUUUGGUUUUAUUUUAAGAAUUGCAAUGGAUUUGUUAGGAAACAAAGAGGCAGAGAAAGAGAUUGCAAAGUGGCAGAGAGAGAGAGCGCUUUGCAAAUUAUCUAGGUUCUCGUCUUCUGAAAAGUAAUUGGCAAACUUUUAGGUGAAACGUUAACUAGGCUUCUAAAAAUUAAAUAACUACUAAAUAAUAUUUUAUAAUAUAAAAUUUGUUUGUUUAUUGUUUUUCAAGAUAAAAGUAAAUUAAAAAUGAUAAAAAAAUAAUUUGGAUCCUAAAAAUAAUUUAGUAUAUAGUUUAGUCUAGACACUUCACUAUCCUUAUCCAGUUUAGUCCAAGCCAAACCAGUCCAACUUAGUCCCGGAAGUUAGUUUAGUCUGAAAUUGCCUGGUGCAACAAACGCACCCUAAGUGAACUCACAUAUCCUGGCGACAACUGGAGGCAUAUCGGGCCAUAUUUUUAGACACCCAUGGCAAAUGAACAAUCUUACAAUUAAUAUUUAUGUAUUUUGUUUUGAGAAAAUGCAGAUGGUUUUAGAGUUAUUUAAGAAAAACAGUUUCUUGUUUCGGUACUGAAUUUUUAUUUAAAGUAUCAUAUUUAUUUAAAAUAUCAUGUUAUUUAUGCUCUAAAAACACUACCAUUGAUUUGGAUUGAUAAUAUAUCUUUAUUUGGAAUGAUUAUCUCCUUCAUUGGAAUUUAUAUUCUCUUUUUUUUUUAUUAAUUGAUUAUUUCAAUUAUAAUACAAUCUUUAGAAUAUUUUGUUGUGUAAACCACCAUGUGACCAGUGGUUGGGGACCAAUUCUAAGCCCGUCUUUCACACUGCACGUCCUGAUUCGAUUCGCGAGGGUGGCGAAUAGCAUGACGGGAUGGUGAAUCGCACGAUGGUGGCCAGGGGUGGUUGAACCGUCUUUCACACGGCACAUCCUAAUUCGAUUCGCGAGGGUGGUGAAUAGCAUGACGGGAUGGUGAAUCGCACGAUGGUGGUCAGGGGAGGCUGAAAUGCCUAUGUGAGUCUUCCCAUACCCCUGAAGUGUGGAUUGCCUUGGCGACGCCACCAGCUGAUCCUUUUUCAGAAAAAAAGAAAAAAAAAUUGUUGUGUGAUUAUUCUUGUGCUUUUAGAUGAAUGAAAGAAACCAAAAACUCUUUUAUAGUAUUCUUGAUUCCUAGUUAUUAUCAGGGUUUUGAUACUCGUAUCAUUUCUUCUCUGGGAAUCCAAUUUAUUCCUCGCAAGGCACCAACUAUCCUUUAUGUGCUUUGGUCUUCUCCUUGGUUUCCUUGGAUUAAACUUCAUACAGAUGGUUUGUCUAAAGGAAAUCCUGGUCGUCUUGCUUGUGAAUGAGUUUUUUGGGAUUGCCAUGGUCAGUUUCUUGGUGGUUUCUGCCAAAGGAUUGGUCACUGCAACUUUUUUUAUGCAGAAUUAUCAGCAGUUAUUAUUGGUGUAGAGUUUGCAUAUCAGUGUGGUUGGCAUUGUCUUUGGUUGGAAAGUGACUUUCUAGUGUUAUUUCUGCUUUCCAAUCAACUGAUUUUGAUCAUCCUUGGCCUCUUCGUACAAUGAUCUAUUUGUUUGGACCGCAUUUGGAAGAUGACUUUCAAUGCCUCUCACAUAUAUCGUGAAGGAAAUGUAGUUGUGAAAUUUUUUGCUAACAUGGGCUUGUCUUCUCCAACUUUGGUAUGGCAUGAUUCCCCUCCGAUUAUGGUUCGUGCUGCUUUAUUUUCAGAUAAUAUGUUGGCUUUCCUAGUUUCCGCUUCUCAAAUUAAUAUGCAUCUUGGCAUACAGGUUUGUCUCACUUUUUUUUUUCUUUUUCAUGUUCCUUGUUCUGUUUUGCAAGUUUAGAACUUCAGGUUCUGCUUUAGAGGAGUUAGGUUUCAUUCCCCCCCUUUUCCUUGUAUCUUUGUUGUUUUUGUUUCUAGAAGGGUAAGGUUUAUGUCCACCCUGUUAUGAAACUCUAAUUGUGGAUGCCAUAUAUGGAUUCAUAAACUUGCCACCCAAAGUGGAUGUUUUAGGUGAAAUAGUAAGUGUGGAAUCCAUUAUGUAGUAAGUGUGGUAGGUUUUGAUUUGAUAUUUUGCCUAUUCAUUUGUCUAUAUAAUGAAGGCCAAAGUAUGAGAACAACACAUCAAUAAGAUGAAGUUAUGGAGGAAAUGAAGGAAAGGAAGAAGAUGGAAAUAAUAGAGAGAGUCAUCCUUAUACUCCUAUUACUUUAGAUAAUAAGGAAAGUACUAUUGCUGCCCCAAUGACGUACUCCACUUACACUGACUGUUGAGGAACCUCGUAAAUAUUGUGUCUUAUUUCAUUUAUUCCACUACACACAUACCGCCAAUUUCACAACAUGUUAUUAGCAUAAAAAGCUCUUGUGUCAAAGGAAAGCACAAUGCCACAAAUCCGAUGAAGCACUACCUACCUCUCACCUCUGUCAGUUGAAAUCUCACAGAAGAAAAAAGGGUACAGACUCAAAAGUCGUAGAAAAACUAAUAGCCAUGCAAACAGCAUCUGAACUCCAACUUCCAGAAAUCUGAUUGAAAUACUUCCUUUUUGAAAGUUGUUCAUUCGCCUAGUACCUAAAACAUAUCAAAAUUUCAGAAAAAUCAAAUGGUGUGAUCGUUGCAGAUGUUUAAAAACCAAUCCAAUUUCUAAUCUGCAGAAAACUGGACAGCCAUCUUAUAAGUAUCAAAAUUCCAUUUUCAAUAGCUCAGAUCGAAAUUGUUUCUUCACAAAAGUUGUUCUUUUUCCUCUUGUCCAUAUUAUACUAAAAUUUGAGUCAGAUCUAAUAGUUUGAUCCUCUCAUAAGGUGCAUACACUACUCUUGACACCAAAAUUUACGGGAACCGUUUCGACUCUUUCGAAACUUACUGGAGGAGGAACACAAACUCGGACAUAUUGUUAUUGUCACUUCCUGGGUAACUAAAAAGACUUAGAGUUGUGAAAAAAAAAACUAAAAUAAAAUAAAAAGGAUGAAACAAAGGAAGUGGCAUACAAAGAAAAAGAAAAGAAGAAUAAAUGAUGGAGACUUAAUCAUCACCUUUUUUUUUUCUUUCUAUUUUUGACAUAUUUAAAUGAAUGGUGCUGGUUCAAAGCUAUUGUCACAAGCUUUAUUUACUUAAAGACAAUUUAUUUACCAUGAUUUGAAUUACUGUCUAUUGCUUUAAUUUAUUUAUUGUACUUACAUUUUGUUAUAAUGAGUAUAUAUGGAACAUGGAGUUUCUUGAUCCUCAUCAUAUAAAAUGAUUGGACUUGAAGUUCCAUCAUAUAAAAGAUCGGACCUGAAGUUCCUUAAUCAUCAUCAUCAUAAAAAAAAAAAUAAGGCAUAAAGUCCCUUGAUCCUCAGAAUACAAUAAGAUUGGACAUGAAGUUCCCUGAUAAGUACCAUAGAUUUGAAAUGCCAUAGUGCCACAACUUAAUUGUAAUAAAGGCCAUAAGAGCCUCAGUCCAUAGACUUUAAAUAAGGACCAAAAGUUCAUUGAUUCGUAUAAAUGAUGAUAUAAUCCAUGUACAAUUGAGUACAUGCAUGAAUUCCAAAAAUAUGAAUUAAAGAUAUUAGGAAUAAUUAUGGACUAGUCCAACCAAAAUGCGGAUCAUUUCAAUAUUUUAUGGUCUUGAUGCAUCUACUCAAUGGUCACAUGUUUGCUUAUUGUCUACUCGAAAUGUAGCAUUUGCGAUACUCCUUGCUCAAAUAAUUAAAUUACUAGCACAAUUCCCAGAUUAUCCUAUUCAACUUGAUAAUACUGGAGAAUUUACUUCUCAAACUUUUUAUGAUUAUUGCAAAACUAGGCAUUGAUGUUGAAUACCAUGUUCCUCAUGUCCAUACUCAAAAUAGUUUAGCAGAGGCAAUUAUUAAGCAGCUAAAAUUGAUUACCCGUGCUCUUCUCAUGAAAAUGAAAUUACCGGUUUCUACACGAGGACAUGUCAUUUUACAUGAUGCAUCAUUAGUUCAAUUGAGAAUUGUUGCCAACCAUCAAUACUCCCCAGUACAAGUCGUAUUUGGGCACUAGCCAAACAUUACACGUUUACGAGUAUUUUGGUUGUGUUGUCUAUGUGCCUAUUACACUGUCACAAUGUACUAAGAUGAGGCCUUAGCACAAACUGGGAAUUUAUGUUAGAUUUGAUUCACCAUCUAUCAUUCGAUAAUUGGAACCCUUGAAUGGGGACAUGUUUACCGCUAGGUUUGCGAAUUGUUACUUUGAUAAGACAGAUUUCCCAUCAUUAAGGGGAUAAAAGACCGUUCCAGAAGAACGAUGAGAAUUCACUGAGAUGUACCCACCUUGUUUUAUUUUAAUUCACGAAGCAAUCAAUGUGAAAAUGAAGUAAGAAUAAUUUUUCAUCUUCAAAGUAUUGCUAAUCAAAUGCCAGAUGCAUUUAAUGAUGCAACGAAAGUGAUAAAAUCACAUAACAGCUGCAAAUAUGCCUACAAGAAUUGAUGCCCUUGUUGGACAAAAUAAUGUGGCAACAAAUUAUUCAUCUGUUGCACGCCUGAAGCGUGGUAGAUCCUCAAACUCAAAAGAUUCAGUCAUUCAAAAGAGGAAGAAUAUGGCACUACUAAACUAUUGCAUUCCCGAAGCAUAACUAUUGCAUGUUGGAAGAAUGAUAGUCGCCGCAUGGAUACACGUCCUAAAAGGAUUGCGUGGACAUGGCAAUUUUGAUGUCUCAUGCAGGAAGUGUGAUAGAUCCCCUUUAAGCAUGUGCAACUCUCUAUUCCCGUGCUUGAUCCCCUUUAAUUUAUUGUCUAAGGCUUGCCACCUCAGCCAUUAAUGAUUAAACUUGGCGAGUUCGAGCAAAUAGACGUUGACCCAUAUUGGGUACAGAGCUCGCACACUGAAUACUGAAAGCCAGAGAGUCUUAAAUAGCUAAUUCAUCUGAUUGUUUUGAAAGUAUCCUUUUAUCAUUGCCUAGCUAACGGCUCUAUCAUUCUUCAUCAUAGAGUCCCCAACCGUAAGAGGACCGUUAGAGGAAGAUGGUUGCCAGAAAUUAUUUUGAGAAAGCAUAUCUGCAUCUUCCGUAACAUUGAAAUCAAAAUAAUGGUAAGAUGGACAAGCCAUUUUUAGAAAUGAUGAAAGAAAAUGAGGUCGGAUAAAGAGAAAUCUCAGAGGCAAUUUUCACAAGAAGGCAACUUUCUGAGAGUGUUUUUUAGAUAUAAUUGAUGCCUUUGAAGAAGCAAUGUAUACCCAUCUUCUAAUUUCAAAAGUAUUGCAUCAACACGCAUCAUUCUAAAGAAUUUGAAAUCAGGGGGAGCAUCCACAAACAGAUCAAGAUUUUAACAAGGCAAUUGUUGUUGAUAUAUUGGCAUCUAGGGAGAGUGUUAUGAAAUUCUAAUUGUGGAUGCUACAUAUGGAUGCGUAAACAUGCCACCCAAAGUGGAUGUUUUAGGUGAAAUAGUAAGUGUGGUGUCCUUUAUGUAGUAAGUGUGGCAUAUUUUGAUUUGACAUUUUACCUAUUCAUUUGUCUAUAUAAUGAAGGCCAAAGCAUGACAAAAAAACAUCAAUAAGAUGAAGUUAUGGAGGCAAGGAAAGAGAGGAAGAAGAGGGAAAGAAUAGGGAGAGAAUAAGGAGAGUUAUCUUUGUACUCCUAUUAUUCCAGAUAAUAAAGAAAGUACUACUGCUGCUCCAAAGACGUACUUCAGUUGCACUGAUUAUUGAGGAACCUCGUAAAUAUUGUGUCGUAUUUCAUUUAUUCCACACAUAGCGUUGAUUUCACAACACUCCUUUUCAUGUAUUUUUUUAUCCUUUUUUCUUCUAUUAUGAGGGGUUAGGUUUAUGUUCCUCUUGACUAGGUGUGUACAAUUUUUUCAAUAUCAAUAAAAUUCUUCUCAUACCAUCGAGGUUUAGAAAAAAAUAUACAAAUCAAAAUUCCGGACAAUGAAUCUUUAAAAAUUAUUUUCUGACGGAUCAAAUAAAGGGAGAUAAGAGGAACAAGACCAUCACCUUUUUAAGCUCUACCUUGACCUUCAGUAAGGUUGUUUACCCAAACGAUCUCUCUACACCUUCUAAACAAGAUGAGUGAUGAAAUUGACAGAGAAGCGAUAAGCAAGCACACUCUAGUUAGAGGCCAAUUUUGAUGUUAGGGAUGAGAAAUCUAAUAUCUCCUCUCUUGCGAAAAUACUUUCUUAGAAGUCCCUUUAAAAACUCACUUUUGAAAACUCUCUAUUUUUUUUUUGUUUUUUAAUAAAAGUGCACACUUGAACCAGCACACCCAAAGUGCGUAAAUAUUUAUAAAGGUUUGUGUCACAACACAAAGCCUAGAAAAUAUCUUCUCAAAAUCUAGUCAUAUAAUAUAUUUGGGCCUUAUUUCAGUCAGCAUGUUGGAGGCACCCAAGUCCUCAGCAUGUUCGAAGCAUCUUACUUGAAUGGUUAUAAUUAUGUCAUGUCAACAUCUUUUAUUGAUUUUUUUAUAUAGAAAUAAUAAGACAGAAAACAAAGUGUGAGAGGAGGGGAGGAAAUGAGGUUCAAAUGGUGUUGAAGGAUCAGGAGGCUGAAUUAAGCAACAAAAAGCUCGUGUUGCUUGCGAGACAAGUUUUGAAAGAAUAAGGGUUUGAGCAGCACCCUUUUCUCUACUGCAAUGAUGAGAAUGUUGAUGCUACUGUCUUGUGGCAAUCUCAGACUAACUCAAGCCUAUGAAACAUAUACUGGCUAUGAUCUGAGUUUUCAAAAAAAUAAAGUAUAUUAUUUAUUUUUUCGUUGUACAAAUAAAGAAGGCACUGAAAUUGCUGCUUUCUAGUGGCAACUACAAAGCUCAAGUUUAUCAAAAUCGUCUGUAAAUCUGUUGUUUCUUGUUCAUCUCAAUUCGGCAUCUAUCGAGUUCUUCAGUUGAAUAAAUUUUGUAUUCGUUACGUCAACAUUAAAGAACAAUCACAGAGCUUCUUCCAUUUAAUAUUCAAGAAAAAAAUGUAGCUAUACAAAAGUAAAAUGAAAAAUGUAUCCAAAGCCAAGCAAAAUUACACAAAAUGUAUGAAACCAAAAACAAAAAACACGACAAAAAGAGAGGACAAAUUUUGUCUCUCUAACUUUAACUGUAAUAUUGUACACUCAACUAUCUAUUUAACAUUUUGAAGUUACAGUGAAAUUUCUUAUCUCCUUUGGAAGUUAAGGUACUUGAUGCCGUAGGCAAAGACGAAGAAGAAGAGGAGGACCCAACCAAGAUGAGCGAUGACAACAGGGAUCAGAAAAUCGUAGUCAAAACCUAAGUAGCUCUUGAGGAAUACAUCAAUUCUUUGUUGUUCUUGAAUUGGACUACUGACCUCGGUCUUCAUGUCACCAACUUGAGAUGUGAAGAUACCGUAAAUUGUCCAGGCAACGGGUGAACCCCAGUAGUACCACCUCCACCAGAUAGGAAUUAGCUGCGGUAUUAAGAUUUAUAUUAGGUAUACAACAGUAAUAGAGAUGAUCUGUAACAAGGUAAAUAGCGUUUAAAAGAACUCGAAAUGAGAAGAACAAUCGAGUUUGAAAUGACGUACCGGCCUAGGAAUGAGGAAGCCUGAGAACAAGUUCCAGAAACUCAAGAAGAAUGACAUAACAAUUGCAGCAAUUUGAUGGCCAGGAGUCAGGGCAACAACCAUCAUUCCGUACAUAGAGAAGUAGGUGAAGCACAUGAAGAUGAAGUAGUAGAAGUACAAAAACUUCUCCACCUUGAAAGUGUAUCCGAUCAUGAAAAACAGAAGGCAGGAAUAGAUGAAGGUUUGGAUUGCAACGUAAAUUGUCUCAAUAGCCACCUACAACACACCAAUUUACAAUAUAUAUCAAUAACAAAGAUACGAAAUUCUAAUGAUUGCACAAAAUCAAGCACAUAAUAAACAUGCAUGGCUUUCAAUAACUUACCUGAGCAAAUGCAUAAGGCAACUCUGAAUACAUUCCAGCUGCUCUUUCACGAUAGAAAACUGUUCGUUCAACCGCAACCACAGAUUGCACAGCAGAUGCAUUGCUAGCUCCAAGGAAAAGGACAGCAGAAUAGGUAGCUCCCAAAAGAUUGAUCAAGUCUUGUUGUUUGUGUCUGUUCACAAGAAUAUAUAAAGUUAAACAUUGUAUAAGUAGCAAUGUUUGGAGAAAACAUGCAACUGAAUCAUAUUUCAAAGAAAAAUGUGUGAGAAAGAUCAAGCUGAUAAUAAAGUUCUUGAACUUACAUCUUGUCUCCUUUGCCCCAGAAGAUAACACCAAAUAAUACUCCGAUGCAGAUUGUCAUGAAAAACCUAAUGGCAUUGUAUCGUGAGUUUCUCCAGUACGACCAAUGUUGUUUCCAGAAGCAUGCCUUGCAUUGUGUUACAAAGCUUUGGGAGUAUUGGGUAGGGAAAUAAAGAUCGUUGGAGCCUGGUUCUGGCAUGCUUAGUUCCUUGAUAAGUUCUUGAUUUCUCCUGAACAAACGAAACAAAAGGGAAGAAAAAAAAAAAUUAGUCCACACAGACAAGUGGAUAACAACGAUAGAAAUGAAGAGAAAACACAGCUGCAUGCAACUUACCUAUAUUGAUGAGAGUUCGCAAAUAUUUCUGCAAAGUCCACAUCAUUUUGAGCCUCAACAGCAGCCGAGCUGACCUCCAACAUCCAGGUAGCUGGAUUGUAACCCUCUUUGAUCUUUGCAACCCCUGGAAUAGCCUGCAAGAUAUUUUGUAUUAGUCAAACAAUUAAUCUCGCAGAGUAAAAUGCAUUUUGGAUUACAGGAAAUUGACCGGAGUGAUUCAAGUAGAACUUACCUCAAAGUAUUCAACAAGUUUGUGAGACUGGCGACCUAGAGGACCGGCAUAAAUCACCUGCCCUCCUCUUUUCAUCAAGAAAAGCUGCAAGGCAAAAUGAAAUCAAGGUGAAAUACCGUAAGAGAAAUAAUGAAAAAUUAUACUGGUCACAGAUUGAAAAAUCAGUUCAUACCUCAUCAAAAGCUUCAAAAAUGUCAAUGCUAGGCUGGUGAAUUGUGCAAACAACAGUUCGUCCUGUAUCCACGGUGUUUCUUACAGUACGCAUAACAAUGGCGGCUGCUCUAGCAUCAAGACCUGAGGUCGGCUCAUCCAUGAAGAUGAUGGAAGGGUUGGCAACCAAUUCUACAGCAAUAGUGAGCCUCUUUCUCUGUUCAGUUGAAAGUCCAUCAACUCCCGGAAGUCCAACUAAAGCAUUUCUCAAUGGGUUAAGCUCAACUAAAUCCAUAACCUCACCAACAAACAUCUGCAGAGUGGAAAGAAAAUAGAUAAAUGAGACUCAGCAUAUAUUUAUGGGAAUGGAACAAUUUAUGAAGAGAAUAAAUGCUAGAGUUGCUAAAAGUAUUUAUCAAUGGAAAAUCAGGAAAAUACCUUUCGUGUUUCGGUCUUGACAUCUUUAGCAAGACGCAGCCAGGCAGAGUAUAGGAGAGACUCAUAUACAGUAACAAAUGGUGAAUGAAUAUCAGUUUGUUCACAGUAACCGCUGACUCGAGCAAAUGUGGCUUGGUUCUUUGGGUAACCAGAGAUGGUAAUACUUCCUUCAAUGUACCCGCCGGUCUUUCUUCCAGCUAAGACAUCCAUCAAGGUUGUCUUUCCAGCACCGCUGACACCAACUAAUGCAGUCAAAACACCAGGCCUAAAUGCACCACUGACAUCUCGUAGAAGUUGGAGUCGGGUCUCUUCAAUCCCUUGGCUCUUCAUUUCCUGGUAAAGACACAAAGAAAGUUAGCCUAAACAAAAUGACUUUGGAAAAUGAUUAAAUUCUGGCUUUGCUUGUUUAGAACUUCAAACUUCGGAGGAAAAGAAGUACUUACGGCAGGCAUAUCCACAUAGUAAUUCACAUGGUUGAAAGCGAGUGAGAGGGGCUGGAAGGGUAAAACCAUUCCUCGUUUGGCUUGAUUAUUUCCUUGAGAAUUUCUUACUUGCAUAUCAAUACCUGUUAUUGAUCAUUAUUUAUUAGAUGAAGAGAAUAAUUUGAUAGCGAGGCUACUUUUCGAGAUGUAAAGCAUGUGCCAUCUUUUAGAAACAAACAUCCAGGUUAGGAUCCACAAGAAAUAAUAUUUUUACCUUCUGGGUUGGAUCGUCGCUUCUUAUUCCCUUCAGAGUCUUCAUCAUUCUCAAUUAGAGUUUUAGUUUCACUUAGAGCUGAAAUUGAGAUAAUAAUAAAACAGAUAAUCAGCACUUGAGCCAUUUCGGUAUCAAUACCUCAUGACAGUAGAAAAUUAUUAACUUACGAUCUAAGUAGGUCAGUGCAGCAAUAAAAAGAAGAUUGAAGAGAACAGUAAAUCCGAAGAGCGCGCCAAUACAAGUCCAAUACCAUGUCUCCGUAGUAAACAGUCCUCUUUCUCUCAGAAGUACCUUUCCAACUGUGUUUUCAGAGGCACCGACGACAGGCUGUGCAAAGGGAUUAAAACUUUCAUUAAGCUCAACCAGUUCGAUUUAGAUAUGAAACUGUUAUAAUUAUUAUUAAGAUAUAGUGAGAAUUAUAUAUACGCUUCAGUGAACUUACUUGACCCCAUCUUUUAUCAAGAAACUCAUUGAUAGCAAUUGCAUUUUGCCCAUACAUCAUAGGUGAAACAUAGUAGCCCCAUAUCAUCCAUGACUUGAUGUCAUCUGCACAAUGAGAUGGGACAUGUGAACAUUUGAUAACACGUGGAAGGGGUAUCAGUCAUCAAUGCAAUUAUUUAGAAAUCUGUACGGUGCUGGUAUCAAAUUUGUAAAUGUCCUAGCUUACUUCGACAAUGAAAUGAGAAGGAUUUCUAACCUUUAGCGACGACAAAACCUCCAAGGACAAACACCAGUAGCAAUGUAAAGGAACCAAUUGUACUCGCAACAACCUCUGUUCUUCCAAGGGCAGCAAUAAAACGGAAAAGGGAAAGUGCCACCUGAUGUACACCGAAGAAAGCCAAAAACUGUUUGAAGAACCUGAACACAUAUGCAUAAGUCAGAUUGAAGAAUAACCCGAUUGCAUAUCUUUCGUAAUUUAUUUAGCAGCACAAAAAUAAGGCUUUCGAGAAUGAUAUGACUGAUAAGAUUGAAGCUUACCUACUGGCCGCAGGUGCAAACCCGAUUGUGUAGUAUGUUAAAACAAUCCAUAUCCCAGAUUCCAUCAGUGAAAUGGGGAUUCUGGUUAGUGAAAUGGGCAAGCCAAAAGCCCAUCCAGGAUAAAACAACGCAUCCCUUUGUUUAAAGAACACAGGAAUCCUGAAAACUGUCAUUGCAAGCUCUGCCAUUCCGUUAAACAUGACGUUAAUGAGACUGAAAAACAGUGCUCCCCAGAAUUUUGCCGAAUCUUCUGCUUUUCCAGCUUUCAUUUCUGUUCUUAAGAAUACCGUCAGAGCAAUUGUAGCCAUGAUUGUUAUCUGCGUAGUUUUGAAUAUGUACACAAAAGAGUUACGCUUCAUCAGCAACCAUUCCCUUGCAAAACAUGCCUUGAAGAGCUCCAUAUUGGAUAUUCCAUACUUAUCCGUCACUAGAGCAGCAGGAUGGACUGAUCUUUUAUCGUAAGGAACUCUUAGUUCUUCCACAAGACGUUGGCCAACAUGAAAAGUGGGGAAAGCUCGAACGAAAUCAGAUACUGAAACAUAUCUGUAAGGUUGGUUCUUCUUAAACCAGUAUUGCUCUUGGUCCUUCUUUGAUGUCACUUCUUGCAAGAAGUCUGCAACACCUUUUCUGUCAGGGCAUCUGAAGCCUAUAAAUUCGAAGAACUCAAGCACAUUCUCGCGUGGACCGUGGUACACAAUCUGACCCUCAGAAAGAAGCAUAACGUCAUCAAACAGAUCAUACGUCUCAGGUGCAGGCUGCAAGAGAGAGAUCACCAUUGACACUUCCAUAAUAUGAACCAUCUGCUUCAUGAACUUGACAAUCUGAAAGGUUGUGGAACUAUCCAGCCCCGUUGAUAUUUCAUCCAUGAAAAAUGCUUUCGCAGGUCCAACCAACAUUUCUCCUGCAUACACAAUAGACAUUGCGGAUUAGAAUACCAGGUAAUAGUUUUGUAUCUUAACUAUCAUUCCUGUCAUGCGAAGCAAGACUAACAACAGUUUCUUAAAAGUAAAAGUGCCAGUUGACAGAAACCAGAUUGGUGCCUAAGUUUAUACAAAAUAUUAGAAACAUUAAACGUGCAAAAAUGACACUGUCGUUAUCUUAAACAUGUCCAAACACAAAUAGAAAGCGUAAUAUCGUGGAAUAACUCAAAUGACAUCAGUAACAUACCAGUAGUUACACGUUUCUUCUGUCCACCGGAUAUACCCCUUCUCAUGUCAUCACCCACCAUAAUGUCAGCACAGAUAUCAAGUCCAAGUAUCUGUCAGAAAAAUUAAAAGACGUUAGCCUUGUACGAUAAGAAUGAUAGAACAAGAAUACAAUCUUAUGAUUGAAUCAACAAACCUUGAGAACGUAAUCUGUGAUCAAACUAGUUUCCUGGCCAACCAUAGAUGUAGCUUUCAUGAAUGCAUCAAUUUCAGGAUCCGGUUUGAUACCUGAAUCUUUCUCCCGUCUAGACAACUCUACCAGCAAAUCAUACCUGGUUCCAACUCCCAGGCAACGUCCAGAGAAAUCCAAUGUUUCACGAACUGUCAUCUCACCAUAAUGAAGAUCAUGUUGGCUAAUAUAAGCGGAAGUUCUCUGAGGCACAAAUUCAUGGAAUUCAUGGCCACAAUAGGUCACGUUCCCAGUUACCUGUUUAUAACACAAUUUGUCAGUACAUUCGAAAAUGUAUACAUGUACCCCGCAUUAAUCAAUUGGAUAACUCUGGUCAAAUGUAAGGAGAUAGAGAAGAUGACAAACCCUUAGAUCCUUAUCGAGUUUGCCAGCAAGUGCUUUUAGCAGUGUUGUUUUUCCUGACGACGGAGGUCCAAGAAGCAGCGUCAUCCUGUAAAACAAAACAAUAAGCUUAGAAAUGAAAUUUUAAAACAAAACUACUUCACCUGAGAAGCAUACCAAAAGAAUAGCUUCCGUCUUCUUCUGACAGGAACAUGAGUUUGUUUUUUAUGAUUGACUAGUUUUUCUUUCAUUGAUGAAAUAAAACUUACACCGGUCCAGUAAAGAUUUUAGAUAUGCAUAACAUGAGCGUACCUUGACGGUUUAAUAACACCGCUCACAUCUUGGAGUAUCUUGACAACUCUUUUCUUCGAUUGUGAGAGUCCAAUCAAUCCAGCUAGUCCCUGUUCGCAAGUAUACAAAUUUAGAAAUCUAAGAUCCGCUAGCAAAGCGUUAUACUAAGAAGUAAGGUUCGGUAUUAAAAGACUUUGAGACAAUACCUCAAGCUGGUUCAAGGUGGAAUUGAGCAGAGUUGGAAGUGCUCUGGUACCAACAUAUGCAUCUCCCUCAAUUGAUAUGUUCUGGAAUCUAACCUCAACCUUAGGAACCUCAAUGCCAACCCUGUUUCCAAAUUCAAGAAACACAUUUACAAAAAUAAUCCAUGGAUAACGAGUCUCAUGGAUAACGAGUUUGAUAUCAAUUUACUCCCCCACCCCUUAUCUAAAUAUAUUGUUGUAUCAAAAUAAUAUAAGUUUCAGAUCGAAACCAUAGUUCUUUUCCUUUUCCCCAAAAUUUAAAUCCAACUUUUUUUUUCCUAUUGAUUUUCUCAUCAACCAAACAAACUACACAGAACACAAACCUGUCAUUUCUGGCUCUGAGCCUCUGCAAGAACCUUUCAUUGUCAUCCUCCACAACCUUAAGUAUGCUCUCCAUCAACUGCUUCUUGUCUUGCGCCCCAAGAUUCGCGACGUC